RNAcentral lists this ribosomal RNA (688 nucleotides) under uncultured bacterium. Its description in RNAcentral is "bacterial SSU rRNA". It matches the Rfam family "Bacterial small subunit ribosomal RNA", at positions 88 to 771 of the family's 1533-position model. The record is from RNAcentral.
GCGGCGAGCGGCGAACGGGUGAGUAAUACAUCGGAACGUGCCCAGUAGUGGGGGAUAACCUCUCGAAAGAGAGGCUAAUACCGCAUACGACCUACGGGUGAAAGCGGGGGACCGCAAGGCCUCGCGCUAUUGGAGCGGCCGAUGUCGGAUUAGCUAGUUGGCGGGGUAAAGGCCCACCAAGGCGACGAUCCGUAGCUGGUCUGAGAGGACGACCAGCCACACUGGAACUGAGACACGGUCCAGACUCCUACGGGAGGCAGCAGUGGGGAAUUUUGGACAAUGGGCGCAAGCCUGAUCCAGCCAUGCCGCGUGGGUGAAGAAGGCCUUCGGGUUGUAAAGCUCUUUCGGCGGGGACGAAACGGUCCGUGCCAACACCACGGACUAAUGACGGUACCCGCAGAAGAAGCACCGGCUAACUACGUGCCAGCAGCCGCGGUAAUACGUAGGGUGCAGGCGUUAAUCGGAAUUACUGGGCGUAAAGCGUGCGUAGGCGGUUUGUUAAGACAGGUGUGAAAUCCCCGGGCUUAACCUGGGAACUGCGCUUGUUACUGGCAGACUUGAGUGUGGCAGAGGGGGGGUGGAAUUCCACGUGUAGCAGUGAAAUGCGUAGAGAUGUGGAGGAACACCGAUGGCGAAAGCAGCCCCCUGGGCUAACACUGACGCUGAUGCACGAAAGCGUGGGGAGCAA